Molecule: long non-coding RNA, 1806 nt
Filed under: Capsella rubella
Lineage: Eukaryota; Viridiplantae; Streptophyta; Magnoliopsida; Brassicales; Brassicaceae
Description: long non-coding RNA (CRUB_LNC000186)
Source: RNAcentral
GAGGGUUAGUUGCGUGGCUUCUUUUUGCUAGGUCAGGGAGAAGAAACUAUUAGAUCUCUGGUUGUGGCGGAUCUACCUUUCCCAAAAGGAAAGUUCCGGGUUGGGUUUGAUCGCAGUGACGGUUUGCGGUGGGGUUCGCGAGCUCCAGCCUAAGAAUUGAUGUCAUGUCCUAGUCCCAAACGAGUCGUCCUUGCUAGCUUCAGAUUUAGUUGGUGGUUUAUUUUUUAGAUGCAAAACCUUAAACCCUAUACCCUAAACCCUAUACCCCAAACCCUAAACCCUAAAUCCCAAACCCUAAACCCUAAGGAGAUUUGUCGUUCUAGAGAUGAUGGUUGAUAUCUUUAAUUUUUCAAAUUAUACGUCGAUUUUUGUGUCCAAAUUUCCUGUACUAUUUCUGUUAAAAAAAAUUUGACGGGAAAUUUUUUGUCGGAAUUUUUUUGGUGGAAAAUAUUUUGCGGGAAAUUUUGUCAAAACUUUUUGGCGGUUGUCAGAAAAUUUUGGCGGGAAAUUCUUUUUCGAGAAUUUUUGGAAAUAAAACCCUAAACCCUAAAACCCUAAACCCUAAACCCUAAACCCUAAACCCCAAACCCUAAAGAUUUUGUCGUUCUAGAGCUAUUUGUUGAUUUUUCUUUUUUUUUUUAAUUAUAAAUCAAUUUUUUUGUCAAUAUUUCUUUUACUAUUUCUGUCAAAAAAAUUUGGCGGGAAAUUUUUGUUGGAAUUUUUUUGGCGGAAAAUAUUAUAACGGGAAAUUUUUGACAAUAACUUUUUGUCAGAAAAUUUUCAAGGUAAAAUGUUUCACAGAAACUUUUUUGGAAGGAAAACCAUAAACCCUAAACCCCAAACCCUAAACCAUAAAUUCUAAACCACAAACCCCAAACCCUAAACCCUAAAGAGGUUUGCCAUUUUCUCUUCUAUGUUGGUGUAAGGCGUGGUUGGAUCUAUCCUUCGAUGUAGACGAUUUCUCUCUUUCACAACAACCUUAGAUGAUGUUCCUAGGAUCUGCUAGUUGAAGGCUAUGGCGGAUUUGGAUUGGAUUUCUCUUGGCUAAUUGGCUAGUUAGAUGUAGAUCUAUCUUGCGGCGGAAGCUGAGGUUCACCACGGUGGGUUCACCACUUUGCGAACUGAUAACGGUUCAUCUGUGACUAGAUCCUUGAUGGCUAGUCACGGGGAUCCUUAACCGGAUUUUGAUGGUUAAUGGCUUGCUUGAGCUAGCGUCCAACCUCCACCGCCUUGAUUGGAAGGGAGGUUUCUUUGGAAGUAAAGGUAAGUGUAAUUCGUUGGAUUAGAGGGUUAGUUGCGAGGCUUCUUUUUGCUAGGUCAGGUAGAAGAAACUAUUAGAUCUCUGGUUGUGGCGGAUCUACCUUUCCCAAAAGGAAAGUUCCGGGUUGGGUUUGAUAGCAGUGACGGUUUGCGGUGGGGUUCGCGAGCUCCAGCCUAAGAAUUGAUGUCAUGUCCUAGUCCCAAACGAGUCGUCCUUGCUAGCUUCAGAUUUAGUUGGUGGUUUAUUUUUUGGAUGCAAAACCUUAAACCCUAUACCCUAAACCCUAAACCCCAAACCCCAAACCCUAAAUCCCAAACCCUAAACCCUAAGGAGAUUUGUCGUUCUAGAGAUGAUGGUUGAUAUCUUUAAUUUUUCAAAUUAUAUGUCGAUUUUUGUGUCCAAAUUUCCUGUACUAUUUCUGAUAAAAAAAAAUUUGGCGGGAACUUUUUUGUCGAUUUUUUUUGGCAGAAAAUAUUUUGCGGGAUAUUUUGUCAAAACAAUUUGGCGGUUGUCAGAAAAUUUUGGCGGGAAAUUUUUUUCCGGGA